CUUCAUUGAACACUUUGUGAACCCUGCUAAUCUGCGCACAGCAGGAGCUUUUCAGGGUUUGAAAGGGAACGGGACAUGGCUAGCCUUCCUGCCACUGGCGCCAGUGGAGACCAGUUCGACCAGUCUCCUCGUAUUGGCCUUCAUCACCAUUAUAGUUGCCCUUGUCUCUCUCUUACUGCUCUGCCACUUGCUGGUCUUCCACAUAUAUCUCUUAUCUAAAGGAAUGAGCACAUACGAGUAUAUUGUGAAGCAGCGUCAGCUACAGAGUGCCAGGGAGCAGAAAGCAGGAGGCACUCAGCUGUCUCCAUCUCCUGCUGUAGCCAAGGGCCUUGGUCAUUUGGACAUGCCUAUAGACUGUGAUGCUCCUCUAUCAAGCAGACCAAGUGUCUUCAAAUACCAAGACAGAGGAGAGAUUUCCAGUCAUCUGUCAGGACCCAUCUGUUCAGAGGUGAGGCGGUGGCUGUUCCUCCGGUGGGCUGGAGCCCGAGUCUGAGCCAGGUGCAGAGCCUGCAGGACUGCCAGCAGGGCACCGCUGCCAGGCAUCGCCAGGCUGAGGGAGUCCCUGUCGUCCAGGGCCCUUUGAGCACCUCCGACAUGGACACCACCACUGCCCGACAGCAGCUCAUCCACUGAGACGAGCGCGCAUGCAGCAUCCAAGAGCCGAAGAGGGUGCAGCCCCGCCAGCAGACUGCUCUUACCCACGGAUUGAACGGAUCCAGCUCCCCGAGUUCUUUGUGAGCACUGAAAUCUCGCAUCCAUUAGAUGAAGAAUGAAAGACUGAACUCUGCAGUAGAGUCAGUCUUCAGAAGGGUUGGAGUCCUCGGGUCUUAAUAAUAAUAAAUGGUGCCAUAGCUCACUAGGCCUUAAUUCUAGUAUUCAUAGCUUGAAUAACAACUUCUUUUGUUUUGUUUUUUUUGCUCAAUCCUUCAUCAAGGCCUUGGUCAUUAGCUGAGGGAAGAGAAACACUAAAUCGUAUGCAGUACACAAAUUGAUAACAGCUGACUUGACUCAGAGCGACGUCUCUUGGAGAGUUAAGAGUUAGAUCAUGGGUUAAGACUAAUGCUCAUCAUGCCGCUAUAUGUGCAGUAUACUUUAUGCAAAAUGAGGUUUUUGUCCUUGUAGAAGUUGAACCACCUCGCGAAUGAAGUUUGCAAGGUCCAUGUGGCCUUGGUUUUUUUAAAUAAGGCUUCUUGUAUAUGAGCGCCAACAUUAAUGGUCGGUCUCUACAUCUUAUGUUUGUAACUAUAAACGCACUGAGGUUUCAAUGAUUAACUGUGUGGCUGUUCAAGAUCAGUAAUUUGUAGGCUGUGCCAAUUUCUCAUUUGGAAAGGAGUCACUUGGCCAGCUGAAAAGCAAACUUGCUGAUCUUGUUGAACCACAGAACGAGACCUGGUUUCCCUUUAUAACUGUCAAACUAUAUCAACACUCAAAGUUGUCAACACUUUCAAACUUCACUGCAGUCAAAUGACAGAAACCUGUACCGAAAUGAGUCCCUUGGCUAGCUUCAUAAACAAUCUUACUGAGCUUGUUUACCACAGAACAAAACCUGGAUUCGCUUUACAAUUCAGCGCCUCACUCCCUUUAUAACUCGUGUUCUGUGAUGUAGACAGCUAGGAUCAAAGUAAAGGGAACUUAUAGAAAUGACAAGACACAACUGUCUAAAAUAACUGAAUGGAAAUAAUGUUAUAACGUGAAAUGUCAAUCGUGUGCUCCGUUGAAGUUUAUACUGAAGCUACCCUCUAGAGGGCAGUCAUGUCGUCACCAUAUUUGAUCUCAAAGCACGAUGAUUAUAGCUCAGGACCACAUAAUGGCAUUUAAUACCAGAGCCCAAACCUUGAUACAUUGAUACAUUUGGUCACAAUAGAAAAGGAAAGGGGCAUUUCCUUCUCCAUUGUGACAAAGUUCACGUUUUGGGCUCUGGUAUUAAAUGCCGUUAUCUGACAUUAACAUCAAAGUUCUCUGUGGACCCAUUUUUCCUCUCCUUUCGCGCUCUCUUCGUUGUGCUCGCCCACAUUGCCGCUCUUUUAAGCACAAAAUGACCGGCAGUGCCGAUGUUGUGGUGGGUGAGGUGCUUAUAUAGGCUAUGUAUCCACCAGCAGUCGUCUGCACACGGGACUUCUGAACUCUCCCCCACGUCCUGGAAAUGUUUGUUCCAGAUUACUAGCACACAUGUAUUCAUGAAUUGAUGUUUGCAUAUUUUGAUUUUAUUUUUUAAAAAGAACUGAUCAUUACAUUUGUUUUAAUAACAUUAUGGCAAAUUACUUGUACCUUUAUUUGAUAAUGAAUACCAAAUAAAGUAUAUUUUAAAAACCCAUGCUCUCAGACUGCAAUGUCUCUCUCUCUCGUUCUCUGUGUAUAUAUUUCAAAGAGUGCCUGUCUUCAAACUCUGACCCUGCCCACGUACAGUCCAGAACUGGAUGCGUACUAAUGCUUCCUAUGUGAUCAUUUCAUGAUUCACGAUAAUAUCGGCACAUACCUCUUUGCCAUGUGACAACAGUAUUACGUAAUCUCAGAAAAACUCAUCAGAGCUUGUAGGCUGCAAGUCUCAAAAGACUCGACGCAAUGGACGACAGAGGUUUAAUCUCAUCUCCGCUUUCACAAAAUAUUAUUGCAGCAAAGUUACAAAUUGCUGGGUCAAUUGACGAUUUUUAAAAAAAGUAUUUAAUAUUUAUCUGGGUAAAAUGAUCCACAACCCGGUCCAGCACCGUUUAUACCUCUGACAUGUAGGAUAAUACCACACUCGUCUAAGACGCGUCGCGGAACGCCUUCCCUCUAGAUUGACGGCGUCUCGACCAAUCAGAGGCCUUCAUGUCGGACCGCAUCCUCCAGGGCUGUC
Molecule: long non-coding RNA, 2836 nt
Organism: Electrophorus electricus (electric eel)
Lineage: Eukaryota; Metazoa; Chordata; Actinopteri; Gymnotiformes; Gymnotidae
Source: Ensembl